AUUUUGCGUGAGGGAUUGCAGCGGCAUCCUUUGUGAAGACUACUUAGUCUUUAUAAAGAUAUAGCGUAAAGCCCGACCCCAA
RNAcentral lists this small RNA (82 nucleotides) under Leeuwenhoekiella aequorea. RNAcentral's name for it is "Flavo-1 RNA". It matches the Rfam family "Flavo-1 RNA". The record is from RNAcentral. Lineage: Bacteria; Pseudomonadati; Bacteroidota; Flavobacteriia; Flavobacteriales; Flavobacteriaceae.